RNAcentral lists this unclassified non-coding RNA (4610 nucleotides) under Hevea brasiliensis (rubber tree). The record is from RNAcentral. Lineage: Eukaryota; Viridiplantae; Streptophyta; Magnoliopsida; Malpighiales; Euphorbiaceae.
UACUCUCUACUCUAUCAAUUUGGUUCGACCUGCCGGAUCCACAUGACCAAAACAAAGAUGGAGGGAAGAAUGGAUAAGGUAGAGGGGAGUAUUGCUGAUUUGGAAGAAGCCAUCACAACUAUUCGGUUGAAUCAGGAUCAGAUACGACUGGACCAAGAACAACGGUUCAGUAGAUUGGAAAAUAUGAUUGCGGCAUUAGCAAGAGGUAAAAGUAAAUCUGAAAUGGAGGGUACAUCUACUCCAUCUUCUCCACCGCAUCAUCAAGGGGAUACCCUAGUCACCAAGUCUAACGCUAGAGCAUUGCUUUUGGAGGAUGUGUCUACUAUUACAAAGAAGGUCGAAAUGCCAAGCUUUGAUGGGGCUGACCCAGUAGGAUGGGUGGCAAGAACAGAGCAGUAUUUUGAAAUCCAUGGUAUUCAAAAUGAACUCAAAGUGUCACUUGCUCUCGUGAGUAUGGAAGGGGCACCUUUGCAUUGGCUUCGAUGGUUGAGGCAGCGUAAUCCACAUUUAACAUGGGAACAACUUCGGGAAGAGCUUAUGCAACGGUAUAGUGACGAGAUGUCCGACAAUCCAUAUGAGCACUUGGUUGCACUAAAACAACUCGGGACUGUAGCAGAUUAUGUUGAUGAAUUUGUAGCAAGGGCUUCUCGGGUUCCAGAUAUCUCAGAUAGACAAUGUUUGGGAUUCUUUUUGAAUGGCUUGAGAGAAGACAUACGGUUGCGUCUGCGUUCUCAUGAAACCACGGAUUUGUAUAGAACAAUGAAACUGGCUCGCGAAAUUGAGAGACAGCGGUGGCACUCUUCCAAGGAUAAGGCAGCACGAAAUUUCUCCGAUGGGAUGAAGAUGAAGUAUCCCUCACAUGGGUUAGGACCGAAAGCCCGAAUUUCUCAGGACCAACGUCCAUAUUUUGGCCCAAGUUCUGAUCAAAAGCGAGAUGGGCCCUUAACUAAACCACCUGAUAAAAAACCCAUAGCUCUUCCAGCUCCUCCAUCAAAAUCUUCGACAACUCAACUAAAACAGAGAGGUACCAGGCAGUAUUCACAUCAGGAGUAUCAAGAACUUAGGGCAAAAGGGUUAUGUUUCAGAUGUAAACAACCCUAUUCUCCAUUGCAUGAGUGUCCUAGCAAAUCAUUGAGGGCCUUAAUUGGAGGGGAAGAUGAAUAUUUGACUGAGGAAGGGGAACUUGUAGAGAUGGAAGAAAUUAGAGGUUCGAGAAUGGUUACGGAACUGGAUGAAGCCCAUUUCUCCCGAUUGGAGUUGCCCUUAUUCUCAGUAGGAGGGAUUCAGCGACCAAGAACCAUGAAAUUUCAAGGGUGGAUCGCUAAUCAACCCGUGGUCGUGUUAGUGGACAGCGGUGCGAGCCAUAAUUUCAUUUCUAAUCAAUUAGUGCAGCGCCUACAAUUGCCUGUUUCUGCCACACCCUCUUUUAAUGUCAAGUUAGGUGAUGGGUGCAAGGUUUCCUCAACUGGAUUAUGUAAGCAACUAGAGCUCCAAUUACUUGAUUAUACUGUUAAUACUGACUGUUAUGUGUUUCCUUUGGGGGGUGUUGAUUUUAUUUUGGGAGUAGCAUGGCUGGAAACUUUGGGUGAGAUACAUGCUAAUUGGCGACAGAUGACCUUGAAAUUCCAAAUGGGCAACCGCACUGUAAUUUUACAGGGAGAUCCAUCUUUGAGUCGUACUCCAGUUUCUUUACGGGCACUAAGGAAAACUGUUGAUGUAGAAUUUUCUGCUAUUUUGUGGCUCGUGGAAUCUGAUGAGGGCAAUAAUGAAGUAACAAAUAACUUGGACUCUAGUCAACAGGAGGCUAUGCAAACCAUGCUUCACCAAUUUGCUGAUGUCUUUGCUGAAAUCAAAUCCUUGCCACCUCAAAGGCAAGCUGACCACCAAAUUCGUCUUCUGCCCGCAGCAGGACCAGUGUUCGUACGACCUUACAGGUAUGGGCAUGUUCAGAAAGAUGAAAUUGAGAGACUAGUAUCUGAAAUGCUUUCGGCUGGAAUUAUUCGUCCUAGUAGCAGUCCCUUCUCCAGCCCAGUAUUAUUAGUUAAGAAAAAAGAUGGGAGUUGGCGUUUCUGCGUUGACUAUCGCCAAUUGAACAAGGCUACUGUGCCAAACAAAUAUCCAAUUCCGGUGAUUCAAGAGCUCUUGGAUGAAUUACAUGGAGCUCAAUAUUUUUCAAAGCUUGAUUUAAAAUCCGGAUAUCAUCAGAUUCGGGUGGCAGCUCCUGAUGUUCACAAGACAGCGUUUCGGACGCAUUCGGGGCACUACGAGUUUCUUGUAAUGCCAUUUGGACUGAUGAACGCUCCAGCGACUUUUCAAGCUGUGAUGAAUGAUAUCUUCCGUCCAUAUUUACGGAAAUUUAUACUUGUGUUCUUCGAUGAUAUACUUAUUUACAGUCGUGAUUGGGAUUCUCACAUGCAACAUUUACAUAAGGUUCUAGAGCUUUUGCGGCAACAUCAAUUACAUGUGAAUCAAAAGAAAUGUUCUUUUGGAAAAACUUCAGUCGAAUACCUUGGUCAUAUAAUUUCUAUUAAGGGAGUGGAGAUGGAUCCUGCCAAGGUUUCCAGUAUAAUUAGAUGGCCUAUUCCGAAGUCAGUGAGGGCAGUACGUGGAUUUUUGGGGUUAACAGGAUAUUAUAGGAGGUUCAUCUUGAAUUAUGGGCACCUUGCACGCCCUCUUACAGCCCUGCUUAAAAAAGAGGCUCAAGUUUCGUUUCAAUGGAAUGCUGAAGCACAACACUCCUUUGAUGCACUUAAAAAGGCAAUCGUAUCCUCACCUGUUCUAACCAUGCCUAAUUUUUCUUUGCCUUUUGUGGUAGAGUGUGAUGCCUCAGGAAGUGGUGUUGGAGCUGUUUUAAUGCAACAGAAUCGACCAAUUGCCUAUUUCAGCAAGGCAAUAUCCAAUAAGUCUACUGCUCAAUCAGCUUAUGAGAGGGAAUUAAUGGCACUAGUUUUAGCAAUACAACACUGGCGACCUUAUCUCAUUGGUCGAAAAUUUACAGUGAGGACAGAUCAACGGAGUCUGAAGCACCUUUUAUUGCAGCAAGCUAGCACCCCAGCACAACAGUAUUGGCUUUCAAAACUGAUGGGAUAUAGCUUUAUGAUUGAAUAUAAAACUGGCAUCUCUAAUAAGGCAGCCGAUGCCCUGUCUCGUAGGGAUGAAGAAGUAGAAUUGCAGGCAAUCUCAGUGCCUCAAUGGGUUGAUUGGGAGGAGAUUGCGCAAGAAGUGAUGAAAGAUAAACAAUUGAGCAAAAUUAUAGCAGAAUUGUCAGCUGGAUCAAAGGUGCAACCUGGAUAUUCACUUAUUCAUGACAGGUUGUACUAUAAAGGCAGAUUAGUUUUACCAGCUCAAUCUGAUUGGAUAUCAAAACUUAUUGCCGAGUUUCAUGACACACCACAAGGAGGGCAUUCUGGGGCAUUCCGCACUUAUAGAAGGAUGGCAUCUAAUUUUUAUUGGAGGGGAAUGAUGAAAGCAAUACAGACUUAUGUAGCCUCUUGUCUAAUUUGUCAGACGCAUAAAUACGACACUCAAGCUCCUGCAGGUUUAUUACAGCCUCUUCCAAUUCCGAAAAUAGUAUGGGAAGAUGUCUCCAUGGACUUUGUAACAGGUCUCCCUCGAUCAAAUGGGGUAGACUGUAUACUUGUAGUAGUGGAUCGUCUCUCCAAAUUUGGGCAUUUUAUUCCUCUGCGCCACCCUUUUACAGCAAAAUCAGUGGCUGAAAUCUUUACUAGAGAAGUGGUGAGGUUACAUGGCAUACCAAGGACUAUUGUAAGUGAUAGAGACCCUGUCUUCCUUUGUAAUUUCUGGGGUGAAUUAUUUAGAUUGCAAGGCACUCAGUUGAAGUUUAGUUCAGCGUAUCAUCCUCAAACGGAUGGCCAAACGGAGGUGUUAAAUCGAUGCUUAGAGUCUUAUCUUCGAUGUUUCUCCUCAGAGCAGCCAAAGGGAUGGUCGAAAUGGUUAUGUUGGGCUGAGGACUGGUAUAAUACUAGUUUCCAAAUUUCUGCAGGAAAAACCCCUUUUGAAAUAGUAUAUGGUAGGCAACCUCCAGUCCUUCAACAUUAUUUACCUGGAGAAACUAAGGUGGAGGCUGUUUCACAACACUUACAAGAUCGGGAUGAAAUAUUGAGACAGCUUCAGUUUAAUCUUCAUCGAGCUCAACAAAGGAUGGUGAAACAUGCAAAUAAGCAUAGAAGAGACCUGGAGUUUGCUGUUGGAGAUCAUGUUUUCCUUAAAUUGAGGCCUCAACGACAACAAUCUGUUGCAUCUCGAAUCUGUCCUAAGUUAUCUGCCCGUUAUUAUGGACCAUUUGAGAUAAUUGGGAGGAUUGGGGCUGUGGCUUAUAAGCUAAAGCUACCUGUUACUUCAAAGGUUCAUCCUGUAUUCCAUAUUUCCCAACUUAAGCGGGUUGUUGGUAAUCACCCGGUUCUCACUGAUUUACCAGUACACAUGGAAGAACAAGGUGAGAGUAUGGUGGAACCAGAUCACAUAUGCCAACAACGACAGAUUCACAGAAAAAAUCAAUGGGUUUCACAAGUGUUGGUUCAAUGGAAAGGGCAAUCUGCAGAGCAAGCAACUUGGAUAGAUGAAGCUGAUUUUCGUGGGCAAUUCCCUUA